AUGGGGGACCAUGAGACUGUCAUCGAAAGGGAUGAGCAGAGAGAAAUUGAACAGAAGUUUGAGGAACUCUUGUUGGAUUACCAGAUCAGUGAAAAUGAAAGCCUGCAAGAUGUCACAUUUGAAGACAGGAUGAGAAACCUCCAGACUGAGCUGACAGUCCAAUACUUUAGAGAGAAGCACCUCUCCCUUUGGCCUCUUUUUACCUUAGAGAAUGCCAUCAUGUAUGAAGAUCUCUCUCUAACUGAGAGGUUCUGUAUCCUUAAGGCCGUGACAGAGGUAACACUGGCAGGCAACCCGGAUGCCGUCAAUGGGGAUGUCCACCAACUUGAGUGUGCCAAGAGGUAUAACUUCCACCUUAGUCUUCUUGAGCAUCUGAAUGGUUCAAAUUCCACUCUGGCAGGUAAACUUCUUUUGGCUUUUUUUGACACAUUUUCAGAUGUGUCUCAGACCAGCAGGGAGCUCCUUAGUCAAAUUCUCUUCAGUAACAUCUGGACACCUGUAGAAAUCCUGCUCUUUCUUCGUGGGGUUGGUUCCAUGGACCAGAAGAAAACAGAUGCAAUCCUUCAUACAGUGCAGACCUACAGGCUGGAUCUUCUCUCCACACUCUCUGCCCUUAGAAGUAAUGAUCCCAAUAAGACUCUGCAAGGUUAUGCAGAAGAAGAAACUGACAAAGAUAUUGACACCAUUUUGAGUGAGAUGCGGGAUGCAAAUUACCCCGAAAAGUUACUCUCUAUAAUGGAGACUGUCUUAGGACAUAUAGAAGAGAAGCUUUCAAAAGAUCCCAUGGUAGACACACAGAAGAAACUGAGCAAGAGAGAAAAAAUGGAAAUGAUCAAAGACUUCAAGAACAAAAUUAAAUUGUUGAAUUUUGCUGAGGCAGACAACACUAUCCUCAAGGAAGUUCUUAUUACAAUGUGUAUUGCUGUUAAAGACUGCACAGCCGUUUCCACUCAAAGUGGAGAGCAAAUCAAGGGAUAUUUUCCCAGACUCACCCAGCUGGCAUCAUUAGUCAUGCUCCUUCUACCAAAGGCAACAUCAGAUAAAGGAUGCCUCUUAGAAAUUGGCACAGGAGAAGGAAAGUCUUGCAUUCUAGCUAUGUUUGCAGCAAUCCAGGCCAUCAGAGGGGCCACAGUCGACAUUGUGACCAGUUCUCCAAUCCUUGCACGACGGGACGAAGAGGAGUGGAGAAAACUUUUUGACAUGUUUGAUAUCACAUCCUCCGUUGUGCCUCCACCGUUGAUGAAGGAGAGCAGCCUUAAAAGCUGUGACAAAAUACUACAGGACGCUUACAAAAGACAGAUUGUGUAUGGAACUGUAAGUGACUUUGCAGCAGACACUUUGAGGCAGGAAUUUGAGAAAAACACCACUCGUGGGGAGAGGAAGUUUGACUUAGUGAUUGUGGAUGAAGUAGAUUACAUGACCUUGGACAGUGGAGUGCAGGUGACCUUCCUGUCUCAUGAAGCCAGCGGCCUUAGGCACGUUGAGCAAGUCCUUGCUAGCAUUUGGUGCAUGAUAUCCGUGUGUCGGCCUAUUCGAAUGGAAGAAACGGGGGAGACUGAGUGGAUAACUGGGAUACAGCAUUUUCACAAGGCUGCAAAGAUGGCUGUUAUGGGCUCAGACAGAUCUGAACACUUUUCUGAAUUUAAUAUUCUGCAAACAGGGUUGCAGUUUGGAUUUUACACACAGGAAGACAUUGAUACAUUGAUGCAGAGUGAAAGUGAGGCACAAAGAGAUGGUAAAGCUGAUGAUUUUCAAGAUGAGAAUUGGAAAGCUAUUGAGGUGUUCAUGACUAAAAUUGGAGUGGAACAACAAUAUGAUCUGCUCAGUAUUCUUGAGACGGCAUUAGAUCAAACUGUUUUCAUCGACUGUUACACAUUAACAAAUAAUAAAGCCACAUCAAUUGGAGAGAAAAAAAGGGACAGUGACAUGAAAAUCAAAAUGCUUCUCCUCAACAAUGGACGAGCUAGUGAAAUAAUGUCUGAAAAAUCACUAAUUGAUGCAGUUGUUCUUGAGAUACAAUCUAAAAUCAUAUAUUCUGACCAAUGUCAGCCAAACUCAGAGGAAACCGAUAACUAUAUUGUGAUCCCCUUCUUCCUUAAGAAGUACAUUGAGAAUCGGAUGCCAGUCUUUGUGGGAAAUGCCUUAAAAGCUAUUGCAAUGAAACAAGGCAGAGAGUACAUGAUUGGCAUGUCUUCUGACGCUAAUCCAAGCACUGUCAGUGAGUCUGACAAACAUUUCUACCAUGCCAUCAUCCCAGUGGACUACCAGGCCAGUGGAGUACUGGAAAAGAACAAACGCUGGGGUGACGGCCUUCAACAGUUUCUAGAGAUGAAGCACCAGUUGGCCAUAUCAUCGCUAUCCAAUGUUACAAAUUAUAUGUCAAAUAUCCAUUACUUUAAAAGAUACCUUAAAGGGAGUGGCAUAUUUGGUGUUUCUGGAACAUUAGGUGGAAAUGCAGACAAACACUUCUUGAAAAGCCAUUACAAAUCAGACAGCUAUACGAUACCUUCUCACAGGCACAAUAAGGUAGUUGAACUCCCCGCUCUUCAGGUAAGCGGUGAUGACUUAAAAUGGAUAGAGGUAGUCUGUGAAAGUGCAUUGAAAGCUGCCGACAGGAACCAGGUCGUCUUGGUGGUUUGUGAGGAUGUUAAGACAGCAAAUGAAUUACAGGUGGCAAUGGCCAACCGAAGAGCAAAUCAACGACAUCCAAUCACCAUGUACACAAUCAGUGAGAGAGACAACAUUGAGCAAACCACAUUCAGUGGGGGAAGCAUCAUUAUCGCCACCAAUCUGGGAGGACGUGGCACAGACAUUAGAUUGGAGCAGAAAGUGAAUCAAUGCGGCGGACUCUUUGUCCUUCUCACGCACUUUCCUGACAAUCGCAGAGUGGAGAAACAGGUGUUUGGACGCACAGCCAGAAAAGGAAAUUCCGGCAUGGUACAAAUGAUACUCCAUUGUGACCAACUGGCACCAGCGUACCAGGGCCAGCCUGUGGAGAUCAUGAGGCAGCUAAGAGAGGAUCAUGAAAUCCAACGCAUCACUGGUAUGGAGACAAAUGAGCUGCAGGAAAUUGAAAGGAAGGAAAAAUUAUUUUCAACAGUUUGCCAAUUUCUUGACAAUUUUGACAGCAACUACUCAGAAAAAGAGAGAGAGAACCUGUUGACAAUAAAGGUGGAGGAACAUAGUUUCAGACGUCAAGGCGAUAAGCUUGAUUACCAGCCAGCACUCAAUGCUCUGAAAGAAUCCUGGGCAUUGUGGUUGACCCUUCAUGAGACCCAUAUCGAGAAGGAUGAUGAUAUCUCUGACUUGGAAGCAGACUUACUUCAACAAUUGACAAACACAAGGAACAUGAUGUUGAAAGGACAAAGCCGAAAUUUCUAUGACCAUCUGAAGCAGGCUGUUGUUAGAACCAACCUGCACUGCCGUGAUAAAACCAAGUGGGACUAUGAUGCAAAAUCUUCCUGGCAGAAAGCUGCAAAAUGUGACCCCUUUUACAGAGCAGUGGCGCUAUACAACCAAGCUUACAUCACAAUUAACCUGGCAGAGAGUGACCAUAAAACAGAGGCUAGUAAAUUACUGCAGGAAGCAAAAGACACACUAGGUAUCUAUAUCUCUGAAACAACAAACACUUUGAAUGCAUGUCAGAUGGCAAUGAGGGGCAACUUUGAGCCACAUCAUGAUGGUGUCUGCAAUUUCCAAAGUCAGAUGCAAUCUAGGAUGAAUAUUUUCCAAGCAUGGCUGGGAUACAUUAACAGUACACUGAAAAAACUUGCAGAGCUAAAGAACAGUAAAAGUAGCGCCAUAACAGAGGAUUCCUCAGUGUAUGCACUCUCAGACGGGACAGACUAUGUCACCACAAAUGAACUCAUGGGCCUGUAUGAGUACGGCCUUGGCAUGGUGUUCGAAGUAAAAGAGAAGCCAAGGUUCAACAUUGAUGCUCUUGUGUGUUUUUUACUGGGUGCAUGUCAGGUUCUGGCUGGAGUUCUUGUUUGUGCUCUGUCCUAUGGCUCCGCCUCCCAGUUUGGUCUUGCCUUGAUCUCAGAGGGAGUGUCUGACAUGAUCAGUGGGUGUGAUGGCAUGAUAACUGGCAGUUUCAGUUGGGCAUCGUGGGCCAUCUCCAAAAGCAUCGGUAUUGGGAUAUCUUUGCUCACUUCUGGAUUUGGCACCAUCAAGAGAGCUGUCCAGUCUGUAUAUAAAGCCACAAAAGGCUUGCUAACAGGUACAGUGAAGAAGCUGGGCACGAAAACUGUAGUCAAACAGACUUUCAAACAUGCAACCAAGUAUGCAGGACAGGAAAUGGCUAAGCAGAUAGUUACCCACACAUUGCAUUACUUCAUUGAUGCAGGGCUUCAAGCUGUACUGAAGGAGAUUUUGAACAAGGCUUUCAAGGAUUCAAUCACCUCUGUAGUUAAAGAGAAUGAUGCAUUGAGUCACACUCUCACAGAGCUUGUAUGUGCUGGAGUUCCAAAAUCAGCUUUACAGAAACAAGCUGCUGAGUUCAAGAUAGACAGGGAGUGUGAAAAAAGUAUUAAAGAUUUAGUAAAAUCAGUGACAGAAAAAAUUAUUUCUGAUCUUAUGAUAGAUUGCAGCACAGUGCAUGAGAUCAUUGACAGAGUCUCUCAGGUGUGUAGCAAAGCGUCAGACCUUAUGGACAACGCAGGAGUGCCUGGAAAAGUCCAAACUGCUAUCUCUGCAAGCCUCUGCAUAGCAGAGUUCAGUACAGUGCUAGUCCAAAUGUUGAACUCUAUCCCUACAGAAAAAUGUAUCAAUGACAGAUUCUCUUCCAAGUUGAUAAAAGAAAUUCAUGCGCAACUGCCAAAUGGGUAUGACCAGGAUGGCAGACACAGACUCCUUGAUGUGGGACGCCUGAAGAAUGAGCUCCUCGAGGGCAUCUCAGAGAAUGUCUCCCAGGAAUUUAUUGAGUCCUGUGCCAGACACAUGAACUCCUUGAUAACACAUAUUUUUAAGGAAAAGAUCAAUAAAGUCACGAACGCCAUUGGCAAUACCACUAGCAACAUGCUUGGCAGGUACAAAACGGAAAACUAUUUCGUAGAGCAGAAGCAGAGGCAUGACAUGAAAUCAGCCAGUAAGCAUGCAGGGGAGUCUACAUGUGAGAUUGAACAGUCGGACCUCCAUCAUUACAUCAAUAACAUCAGUGAUAUUGACCGCCCUGCUUCAGAGCUGGACAUCUAUGUCCUUACAAAGAGUGACCUACUCCAGGGCCAAGGCAUCAGGGUCAAGGUAGUGGAUAAACAUGGGAAACCACUCGAUGAGCAAUCCUACCCAGGCACUGACUGCUCAGCAGGAUACAUCACACUCAAACUGACCAUGGAGCCAGAGACAGCUAAAAGUGAGAUGGGUCUGUUAUCUCACAUACAAGACCGAAUCCAAGGUGUUCAAACUGCGUACAGCGGCCAUUUUACCAUUGUUCAACCAGAUGGAUGUGAGACCAGGGUGAUGUCAGAGGGCCAGAAUUGCAUGUACCAUGCCUUAAUCCAGGCAACAUCCAGAAGCCAGGAGCAGGACAUCAAAGAACAGGCAAGGAUUCUGCGCAAAAAAGUACAAAGCGAGGUUCAGGAAAACCUCCCAACCUACUGUGAGUUAGUAAAACUCCAGAAGCGCUAUGAUAAUGUUAUGGAUCCUGGAAAAUAUUCCAUAUUGGGAGGGGUAAGGCCAGAAAAGAAGAUUAUCAGCCAGGACUACAGGGAUGCCAUCGCACCUAUGACGGAAACCGACUAUAUCAUUGCCCAGCUUUACGACCUUGGUUAUGUUGCCACAUACAAAGAUGUAAGAAACACCAUAUUGUCUGGAAGGUACGCUGUGGAAGCCGACCACAUCAUACCAAAGGACACAUUAAGGAAGGCACUAGUACACCGUGACUUGGAAAAACUCAAGAGUAAGAAUUCACAACUUUAUGCUCUAGUAACAAGUAUUCAAUCGGACCCAAAUGGAAGAUGCCACCUUGUCAUGCAGGUUCUCUACCAACAUCACCGCACUGCCUUGACAACUGGCAAUUGCAUGGAGGCCAAACUGUGCAGGGCACUGCUGGCUGACACACUCGUAAGUGGGAAUGCUGAGAAGAUGCUGAAGCAGGCCAUGAUUAUGGCCAAUCCUGUGUCCUCCCAGAAGCUUAGGGAUUAUGCAGGCCUCAGAAACCGCUCGUCCAUUGGAAAACAUCAAGACUUUUCAGAAAAUGGGACGAACUGCUACUACAAAGCUGGGUUCAUGAAUGUGUUCAGUGAGUAUCUGAAAAUUGGCAUCAUUGACCAGAACCAGCAUACGAGGCUAAAGUCAUGGGCCAAAGAAAACAGGCACCAGGACACAAACACAGAGGAGUUUAGAGAGAUACAAAGAAUAGUCGAAGGACAACAAGGUGAGAAAUCGAGGAAACGGGUGAGAGGAAACAUGCUCGGACCACAGACACAUCAAAGCCCCUGACAAAGUGGGAACAUUCUCUCUCCCUGUAUCCUAUAGUCAUUUACACAGAAUUUAGAUCAUGCAUUUAAUUAUGUUUGUAAAGGAAAAUAAUGUAGACAUCAGCUGUAUAUUGAUGACCAAUGUAGGGUCUUUGUAAGCCCGAAUGUCACAUGCUGGAGAAUGGUGAAUGAUUUCUUAUGUUUCUUCAUGAGGGACUUGGUUUUCUAUCUGUUACAUAAAAAAGGAAAAGACCCGACUCUCUGUUCAAGUCAUAGGCCUCUCUCCCUCAUCAAUAUUGACAUGAAAUUGUACGCCAAGGUUCUAGCCAAACACCUUGAAACUAUUUUGCAAAAACUAGUUCAUCCUGGUUUGUCAAAUAUCGAUUGGCGUCAGACAAUUGGAGACGUCUCCUACGUAUAAUACAAAUUACACCUGAUAUACCAUCCUCCUGUGCAGUCCUGUCAAUUGAUGCAGAGAUGGCCUUUGACUGUCUCGGGUUGGGUCUACCUCUGGUAAACUAUGGAACAUAUGGGAUUUGUUUAUGACUAUGUUGAAGACACUGUAUAGUAACCCCUCUUUAAUGGUCUUGAGAGUGUGAUGGAAAUGUGAUACAUUUGCUUUUCUUAUAACUAAUUUCUGUGUUCUAUUCAUGUGCUGUUCUAUAAACCAAUUUCUGUGUUCAUGCAAGUGACUGACUGAACGAACCCUCACUAUCAGUAACUGCAAUUUAGCAGUACGUCCAGACCUUGUUUUGAGAAUGAAAGACGUCUCAGCUUAGAGAGAAGAAGCCUCGUGAGGUAUUCGUUAUGAACCAGUAUUGGUCGGUCAUGUGAAUGAAACAAAACACAAAUAAUUAAUUAAUUAUGCUAAAUCAUGCAAAUGUAACUUGUAUGUGUAUAGCCGUAUAUAAGACAACUGCUGGGACAGCCCAGGCAGAGCUUCUGACCGACGUUCACAAUGGUAUGCUGACAAAUAAACAUUGAUUAAUUUAAGAUUUACUUCGAGGGUCCCUGUGUAAAAUUCCACAACAAUGUGUAACCAGUGCUCCUCAGUUUUCCAUCAAACGGUGAUCUCAUCAAGGCUGUCCAGUGUCCAGUCUCCUAUUUGCCAUAUCACUGGCACCUUUUGGAAGAAAUAAAAAUGUCAAUCCUACUUCAAUCGAGUACAGGCUUAACUGAAUGACAGAGACAAAAUGCAAUCUAGAAUUUUAUUGAAUUGUUUGGGGUAGACCUCAUCUCUGAGGAAUGCUCCUUGGCAUCAGAUGCUGAUGACAGGUUACCUUAUGCUAGGGCAGUUGGCAUCAAAACCCCCCAAAAAUAAAUACGUUACUCACCAGGGAGAAGGGACACAUGGAGCAAUGGUUGGAUAUUAAGACACUGGUAAAUAGAUGUAAAAGAGAUGCAUGCAAAGACUAGAACAAAAGUGCAAUUAUACUGUAUACUGUAAUGUAAAGUAUUAUAUGAAAUGUUUGUUAAUUACAUCUAACCAACCACACAUGAUGUAAUGCAAUAUGUAUGAUUAACGUGAAACUACAGCUGAGCUUUGAACCCAAUAGUGCAGAUCUUCAACCAAAACAUAAUAUUAGAUAAAAUAAAUCUGAAUGAACAAAUAAAACAACAAUUACAUAUUUAAUUUAUUUCAUAAACAAAGUUAUGCAACACCUAAUGCCCCUGUGUGAAAAAGUAAUUGCCCCCUUACACUCAAAAACUGGUUGUGCCACCUUUAGCUGCAAUGACUGCAACCAAAUGCUUCCUGUAGUUGUUGAUCAGUCUCUUGUGUCGCUGUGGAGGUAUUUUGGCCCAUUCUUCCAUGCAUAAUUGCUUUAACUCAGUGACAUUUGUGGCUAUUCAAGCAUGAACUGCUCGUUUCAAGUCCUGCCACAACAUCUAAAUUGGGAUUAGGUCUGGUCUUUGACUUGGUCAUUCCAAAACGUCAAAUUUGUUGCUUUUUGACCAUUUUCAUGUAGACUUGAUUGUGUGUUUUGGAUCACUGUUUUGCUGCAUGACACAGCUGCGCUUCAGCUCACAGAUGGAUGGCCUGACAUUCUCCUGUAGAAUUCAUGGUUCCUUCUAUUAAGGCAAGUUGUUCAGGUCCUGAGGCAGCAAAGCAUCCCCAAACCAUCAUACUACCACAACCAUGCUUGACCGUUGGUAUGAGGUUCUUACUGUAAAAUACAGUGUUUGGUUUUUGCCAGACAUAAUGGGACCCAUGUCCAAAAAGUUAUGUCCAUAGAACAUUCUUCCAAGGUGCUUCCAAGUGUUUUUCCACUCAAUUGUCCAGUGUUGGUGAUCGCGUGCCACUGGAGCCGCAAUAGCCCAUCCGUGACAAGGACCGGCGAGUUGUGUGUUCCGAGAUGCCGUUCUGCACACAACUAUUGUAUUGCGCUGUUUUUGCCUGUUUGUGGCCCACCUGUUAGCUUGCACAAUUCUUGCCAUUCUCCUUUGACCUCAUCAACUAGUUGUUUUCGCCCACAGGACUGCCGCUGACUGGAUGGAUUUUGUUCAUCGCAGAAUUCUCGGUAAACCCUAGACACUGUCUUGCAUGAAAAGACCAGGAAGCAGGACGUUUCUGAGGUACUGGAACCGGCGCGCAUGGCACCGAUGAUGAUGAGGAUACCAUACUUAUGUUGGUUAGGUCAUUAGUUUUGCCCAUUCUAAGAUUCAAUCAAACAGUAACUGAAUGCCUUGAUGCCUGUCUUCCUGCUUUAUAUAGCAAGCCAACGCCAUGUGACUCACUGUCUUUAGGAGCUAACCAUUUUCUUGAACCAGGUGGUGUACCUAAUAAACUGACAAAGAGGCCUCCCAC
Molecule: long non-coding RNA, 9222 nt
Organism: Oncorhynchus kisutch (coho salmon)
Lineage: Eukaryota; Metazoa; Chordata; Actinopteri; Salmoniformes; Salmonidae
Source: Ensembl